GCCAGAGAGGGUGAGAGCCCCGUAAGCGAAAUCCAAAGGAGGCCUAUCAGUAUCCUGAGUAGGGCGGGACACGUGAAAUCCCGUUUGAAUCCGCGAGGACCAUCUCGCAAGGCUAAAUACUAACCAGUGACCGAUAGUGAACCAGUACCGUGAGGGAAAGGUGAAAAGAACCCCGGGAGGGGAGUGAAAGAGAACCUGAAACCGUGUGCCUACAAGUAGUCAGAGCCCGUUAACGGGUAAUGGCGUGCCUUUUGUAGAAUGAACCGGCGAGUUGCGUUAGUCAGCAAGGUUAAGUCAGAAAAGACGGAGCCGUAGCGAAAGCGAGUCUGAAGAGGGCGAGCAGUUGGCUGACGCAGACCCGAAACCAAGUGACCUACCCAUGACCAGGUUGAAGGCGCGGUAAAACGCGCUGGAGGACCGAACCCACGUAAGUUGAAAAUUGCGGGGAUGAGUUGUGGGUAGCGGUGAAAUUCCAAACGAACUUGGAGAUAGCUGGUUCUCUCCGAAAUAGCUUUAGGGCUAGCCUCGCAAAGAGGAUGCUGGAGGUAGAGCUCUGUUUGGACUAGGGGCCCGUCAAGGGUUACUGAAUUCAGAUAAACUGCGAAUUCCAGACAUUUAUGUGCGGGAGUCAGACUGCGAGUGAUAAGAUCCGUAGUCGAAAGGGAAACAGCCCAGAUCACCAGUUAAGGUCCCAAAAUUCAUGCUAAGUGGAAAAGGAUGUGGAGUUGCGCAGACAACUAGGACGUUGGCUCAGAAGCAGCCAUCAUUCAAAGAGUGCGUAAUAGCUCACUAGUCGAGUGACGCCGCGCCGAAAAUUUACCGGGGCUAAGCAUGAUACCGAAACUGUGGAUGUGCGUUUAUGCACGUGGUAGGAGAGCGUUCUAGCGGCGGUGAAGCAUGACCGAGAGGACAUGUGGAGCUUCUAGAAGUGAGAAUGCCGGUAUGAGUAACGAAAGACAGGUGAGAAUCCUGUCCGCCGCAAGACUAAGGUUUCCUGGGGCAGGCUCGUCCGCCCAGGGUAAGUCGGGACCUAAGGCGAGGCCGAGAGGCGUAGUCGAUGGACAACAGGUUGAAAUUCCUGUACUGCACCGAAUCGUUAUGAGCGAUGGAGGGACGCAGGAGGCUAGCAGCGCGUGGUGCUGGAUACCACGUUCAAGCGUCAAGUCUGAGAGCGAGUCAAAUGCUUGCUCUCAUAAGGACAAGGCGUGAUGAGGAGCGAAAUUAAAGUAGCGAAGGCUGCGACGUCACACUGCCGAGAAAAGCUUCUAGCCAGAGACGGUGCACCCGUACCGCAAACCGACACAGGUAGUCGAGGAGAGUAUCCUCAGGUGAGCGAGAGAACUCUCGUUAAGGAACUCGGCAAAAUGGCCCCGUAACUUCGGGAGAAGGGGCGCUGGUCGCAAGAUCAGCCGCAGUGAAAAGGCCCAAGCAACUGUUUAUCAAAAACACAGGCAUCUGCAAAAUCGUAAGAUGAAGUAUAGGUGCUGACACCUGCCCGGUGCUGGAAGGUUAAGAGGAGAGCUUAGCGCAAGCGAAGGUUUGAAUUGAAGCCCCAGUAAACGGCGGCCGUAACUAUAACGGUCCUAAGGUAGCGAAAUUCCUUGUCGGGUAAGUUCCGACCUGCACGAAAGGUGUAAUGAUUUGGGCACUGUCUCAACGAGAGACUCGGUGAAAUUAUAAUACCCGUGAAGAUGCGGGUUACCCGCGACAGGACGGAAAGACCCCAUGGAGCUUUACUGCAGUUUAAUAUUGGGUAUCUGUCAAGCAUGUACAGGAUAGGUAGGAGCCGGAGAAGAUAGGACGCCAGUCUUAUCUGAGGCGCUGUUGGGAUACUACCCUUGCUUGACGGAUGCUCUAACUUAGGCCUGUGAUCCAGGCCGAGGACAGUGUUUGACGGGCAGUUUGACUGGGGCGGUCGCCUCCUAAAGUGUAACGGAGGCGCCCAAAGGUUCCCUCAGAAUGGUUGGAAAUCAUUCGCAGAGUGUAAAGGUAAAAGGGAGCUUGACUGCGAGAGAGACAACUCGAGCAGGUACGAAAGUAGGGCUUAGUGAUCUGGUGGUACCGCAUGGAAGGGCCAUCACUCAACGGAUAAAAGCUACCCUGGGGAUAACAGGCUUAUCUCCCCCAAGAGUUCACAUCGACGGGGAGGUUUGGCACCUCGAUGUCGGCUCGUCGCAUCCUGGGGCUGAAGUCGGUCCCAAGGGUUGGGCUGUUCGCCCAUUAAAGCGGCACGCGAGCUGGGUUCAGAACGUCGUGAGACAGUUCGGUCCCUAUCCGUCGUGGGCGCAGGAAAUUUGAGAGGAGCUGUCCUUAGUACGAGAGGACCGGGAUGGACGCACCGCUGGUGUACCAGUUGUCUUGCCAAAGGCAUCGCUGGGUAGCUAUGUGCGGACGGGAUAAGCGCUGAAAGCAUCUAAGUGCGAAGCCCCCCUCAAGAUGAGAUUUCCCAUUUCUUCAAGAAAGUAAGACACCUCAGAGACGAUGAGGUAGAUAGGCCGGGAGUGGAAGAGCCGUGAGGCUUGGAGCGGACCGGUACUAAUCAGUCGAGGACUUGACCAAA
RNAcentral lists this ribosomal RNA (2560 nucleotides) under Lactobacillus delbrueckii subsp. bulgaricus ATCC BAA-365. Its description in RNAcentral is "bacterial LSU rRNA". It matches the Rfam family "Bacterial large subunit ribosomal RNA", at positions 354 to 2925 of the family's 2925-position model. The record is from RNAcentral. Lineage: Bacteria; Bacillati; Bacillota; Bacilli; Lactobacillales; Lactobacillaceae.